UAAUGCACCUGGACUAGAAAGCAGGCCCAGUGAUGGAAACAGGUAUUCACACUGCUAUUUCACCAACACACAGCCCAAGAUUGGAACGGCUUAUGAAAUCCGAAAAUCCGCAGCAGCAUGGCAGCAUGGGUAAUAUUGUUUCAUACUGGAUAAGAUUCAGGUAUCCGAAAAUGUCCAAGACAGACGACCACAUAACCUGCCAUUAUAACCAUCAGCUUGAACUGAGAGGUACAACACCCUGGAACUAAGCAUAUGCUGUGAAUGAAGAGAGGCUGAAUAUCCCUGUAUCUGAAAGAGAUCUCAGCCUUGUUGCAAGUCACAUUGGGAUCGGGUUUGAGUGUGUCGGCAUCGAACUUGGACUUACUCUCGUGGUUAUCGAACAAGUCUCGUUUGCACACCCAAAUUCACUGUACAUGCAGGUUGUACACAUGCUUACGAAGAGGAUGGAGAAGAAUGGAAGAUCUGCCACCAGCCUGGUCCUCGUCAGAGCACUGUGGAGAUGCAACGAGAAAUGUACGAUUGAGUGGGAGGACAUUCUGAACAUUCUUCAGGGACCGUCCACUAAGUCAGGUUAAUAAAGUGCUGCUCUGAACAACCUUCUCAAGUACAGUUAUCACUGAUUUAUUCAUUGGGAGGAUAUUCUCAACAUCCUUCAGGUACUAACAUCUAUUUCUGCGUAGCCAUGCACCUGCACAUUUAGAUUGUGCAAAACAAUCCCUUUGAAAUAUCGAGUCGCGAUACUAGAUUCACCAUGACUGAACCGGAUGAUGUUUUUCCUCGUGCAAGUUGCGCACUAAACACUCAUCAUAUGUACAGUUAUCAUUAAUUUGCCGUAUAUAAUACAUUGUGAUUGUAUUUGUAUGUUAAUAAACUGCUAUGAUGUCCUUUGUAAGAACUGGUCAUUCUGCCUCUUGUGAUAUUCGCGGAACAGUGACCGAGGGAUAACAAGCUGUGCUCUAAACGUCAUCCGUAGUCCGAAAAUCCGGGAACAUAAUUGCCUCUCACAUAACAAAUGUCCCGACUGUAUUAAGGAUUGAAAAUUCAAAAUUAUUUUUAGAAUGUAAUUUCAAGGGUACUGUCUAUCUGUUGACUCUGAUUUUGAACACUAUUACUAGGUUUGCCGGUUGUAGAAUCGUUUUUGAUUCAUUAAGGACGCCAUUAUUUUCUGACUUUAUACAUUAGCUCUAUUCUAUUUGUAAGGUCAUGGGCUGUAGUAGUUUUCAGGAAUGAUGACAGGUUAUGACAGGUCGUCUUGUGCAGCCUCUGUGGUGUGUGAUCACAUCUAUAGAGAGAUGUGCAUCGUCAAUGCAGCAUGGGCUGAGAUAUAUAUAGACAUAAACAUUCAGCAGGUCGUAAAGAAAGGUUUGUUUUACUCAUUCUUCAUAAUAUCUGUUUUGAAGAUUCUAUGAAUGCAUU
Haliotis rufescens (red abalone) is the source of this 1416-nucleotide long non-coding RNA. RefSeq lists it as uncharacterized. Lineage: Eukaryota; Metazoa; Mollusca; Gastropoda; Lepetellida; Haliotidae. The record is from RefSeq and is a predicted model, not a curated record. The transcript is spliced from 3 exons.